This 460-nucleotide ribosomal RNA is filed under the name uncultured bacterium. RNAcentral's name for it is "partial 16S ribosomal RNA". It matches the Rfam family "Bacterial small subunit ribosomal RNA", at positions 338 to 795 of the family's 1533-position model. The record is from RNAcentral.
CCUACGGGAGGCAGCAGUGAGGAAUAUUGGUCAAUGGACGAGAGUCUGAACCAGCCAAGUAGCGUGAAGGAUGACUGCCCUCUGGGUUGUAAACUUCUUUUAUAUGGGAAUAAAAUGUUCCACGUGUGGGCUUUUGUCUGUACCAUAUGAAUAAGGAUCGGCUAACUCCGUGCCAGCAGCCGCGGUAAUACGGAGGAUCCGAGCGUUAUCCGGAUUUAUUGGGUUUAAAGGGAGCGUAGGUGGAUUGUUAAGUCAGUUGUGAAAGUUUGCGGCUCAACCGUAAAAUUGCAGUUGAAACUGGCAGUCUUGAGUACAGUAGAGGUGGGCGGAAUUCGUGGUGUAGCGGUGAAAUGCUUAGAUAUCACGAAGAACUCCGAUUGCGAAGGCAGCUCACUGGACUGCAACUGACACUGAGGCUCGAAAGUGUGGGUAUCAAACAGGAUUAGAUACCCGGGUAGUC